AAUGAUGUGAUCUUUUCAUAAGUAAUUUACUUUUUUUAUAGGUGUAGGAAUUGGUGGAAGCAGAGUUGGUUUGUUUCUGCUCAUCAUCAUUUCAGGUGGUCAACAAUAGGUAACCAACAUGUCGUGCUACCAUAAAGCUUCAGUUGACGUUGAGUGUUGCCCUUGUAACCAAAUUAUGUAUUUGACUAGCUUGAACUUUCAUGAUAUUCCUUUAAACAUACUGAUAGUAUCUGCUCACAAAAAUGUUGUGCUUGCAAUGUAUUAAGUAUUAAAAUCGCAUACCUAUAAUCUAUGUAAAAGAUGCACAACCCAAAACCAAUAGUUUAACUUGAUAGAUUGACAUUUACAAUCCUGUCCAUUUCAACUUUAUUUGCUGGAUAAAUAUGUUCUUGAAUAAAUUAUUUGGUUCACUUUCAUGAUUAUGAGAAAAUUACUAAGAGAACAAUUUAGGUUGCUUACAUGUUUGUUGUGUUUUUAGUAUGGAUAAAUCAUUACUUCGGUUUUGAAAACCUUUUUGUGUUUCCCUGUCAUUGAGAUGUUUGAUUGAUUUCCUUAUAUUGGUCUAAAAUUGGUAUAGUACCUGCUGGUGCUCCUUAGGUUAAUUCACAUAUUACACCACUACUGCAUUCAUCCUUACAAUUUAACAUAUGCCACAAAAAUAACUCCAUUAACUUAUUUUAUUCACAUUCAGGAAAAGAAAAUUAGGAGAGGACUAAUAUUGUUGAGUAGUUCAAUGCCACAAGAUUGUUGACUCCCAGUAUUGACACAAAAAUUGUAUUUUUGCAGCACUUCUCGAGUAACUAUGCAUAAGUGGAAGCAAUUCAUCGUAGUAAAAAAAAAUGUGUGCCUUCCGUUUGCACAUCAACAAGAAGGCCCUUGCAGUAAAGCAGUAAUGCAAUCCUCUGAAUUCAUGGGGGAAAGGGCAAUUAAUGCAAAAGCAUCCAAACCACAUUAGAAUUUAGCCAUCUGUAAUGUAGUUGUAUGUGCUCAUCUAGCAGAACUGUUGCAAUGCUACUGCUAUAAAGCUACCAUGUACUGCCUAUCCUGUAAUCAAACAAAUGGCAGGUUUUGUUAUGUACUUACUGUCCACAAUUUGCAUACAAC
This 1104-nucleotide long non-coding RNA is filed under the name Oryza sativa (Asian cultivated rice). RNAcentral's name for it is "long non-coding RNA (OSAT_LNC001988)". The record is from RNAcentral. Lineage: Eukaryota; Viridiplantae; Streptophyta; Magnoliopsida; Poales; Poaceae.